This 1950-nucleotide ribosomal RNA is filed under the name human gut metagenome. RNAcentral describes it as "bacterial LSU rRNA". It matches the Rfam family "Bacterial large subunit ribosomal RNA", at positions 1 to 1977 of the family's 2925-position model. The record is from RNAcentral.
UUAAGCGACUAAGCGUACACGGUGGAUGCCCUGGCAGUCAGAGGCGAUGAAGGACGUGCUAAUCUGCGAUAAGCGUCGGUAAGGUGAUAUGAACCGUUAUAACCGGCGAUUUCCGAAUGGGGAAACCCAGUGUGUUUCGACACACUAUCAUUAACUGAAUCCAUAGGUUAAUGAGGCGAACCGGGGGAACUGAAACAUCUAAGUACCCCGAGGAAAAGAAAUCAACCGAGAUUCCCCCAGUAGCGGCGAGCGAACGGGGAGGAGCCCAGAGCCUGAAUCAGUGUGUGUGUUAGUGGAAGCGUCUGGAAAGGCGCGCGAUACAGGGUGACAGCCCCGUACACAAAAAUGCACAUAUUGUGAGCUCGAUGAGUAGGGCGGGACACGUGGUAUCCUGUCUGAAUAUGGGGGGACCAUCCUCCAAGGCUAAAUACUCCUGACUGACCGAUAGUGAACCAGUACCGUGAGGGAAAGGCGAAAAGAACCCCGGCGAGGGGAGUGAAAAAGAACCUGAAACCGUGUACGUACAAGCAGUGGGAGCACGCUUAGGCGUGUGACUGCGUACCUUUUGUAUAAUGGGUCAGCGACUUAUAUUCUGUAGCAAGGUUAACCGAAUAGGGGAGCCGAAGGGAAACCGAGUCUUAACUGGGCGUUAAGUUGCAGGGUAUAGACCCGAAACCCGGUGAUCUAGCCAUGGGCAGGUUGAAGGUUGGGUAACACUAACUGGAGGACCGAACCGACUAAUGUUGAAAAAUUAGCGGAUGACUUGUGGCUGGGGGUGAAAGGCCAAUCAAACCGGGAGAUAGCUGGUUCUCCCCGAAAGCUAUUUAGGUAGCGCCUCGUGAAUUCAUCUCCGGGGGUAGAGCACUGUUUCGGCAAGGGGGUCAUCCCGACUUACCAACCCGAUGCAAACUGCGAAUACCGGAGAAUGUUAUCACGGGAGACACACGGCGGGUGCUAACGUCCGUCGUGAAGAGGGAAACAACCCAGACCGCCAGCUAAGGUCCCAAAGUCAUGGUUAAGUGGGAAACGAUGUGGGAAGGCCCAGACAGCCAGGAUGUUGGCUUAGAAGCAGCCAUCAUUUAAAGAAAGCGUAAUAGCUCACUGGUCGAGUCGGCCUGCGCGGAAGAUGUAACGGGGCUAAACCAUGCACCGAAGCUGCGGCAGCGACACUAUGUGUUGUUGGGUAGGGGAGCGUUCUGUAAGCCUGUGAAGGUGUACUGUGAGGUAUGCUGGAGGUAUCAGAAGUGCGAAUGCUGACAUAAGUAACGAUAAAGCGGGUGAAAAGCCCGCUCGCCGGAAGACCAAGGGUUCCUGUCCAACGUUAAUCGGGGCAGGGUGAGUCGACCCCUAAGGCGAGGCCGAAAGGCGUAGUCGAUGGGAAACAGGUUAAUAUUCCUGUACUUGGUGUUACUGCGAAGGGGGGACGGAGAAGGCUAUGUUGGCCGGGCGACGGUUGUCCCGGUUUAAGCGUGUAGGCUGGUUUUCCAGGCAAAUCCGGAAAAUCAAGGCUGAGGCGUGAUGACGAGGCACUACGGUGCUGAAGCAACAAAUGCCCUGCUUCCAGGAAAAGCCUCUAAGCAUCAGGUAACAUCAAAUCGUACCCCAAACCGACACAGGUGGUCAGGUAGAGAAUACCAAGGCGCUUGAGAGAACUCGGGUGAAGGAACUAGGCAAAAUGGUGCCGUAACUUCGGGAGAAGGCACGCUGAUAUGUAGGUGAAGUCCCUUGCGGAUGGAGCUGAAAUCAGUCGAAGAUACCAGCUGGCUGCAACUGUUUAUUAAAAACACAGCACUGUGCAAACACGAAAGUGGACGUAUACGGUGUGACGCCUGCCCGGUGCCGGAAGGUUAAUUGAUGGGGUUAGCGGUAACGCGAAGCUCUUGAUCGAAGCCCCGGUAAACGGCGGCCGUAACUAUAACGGUCCUAAGGUAGCGAAAUUCCUUGUCGGGU